GCGUCAGUCGCAAGAUGAAGCGUUGAAUUGAAGCCCGAGUAAACGGCGGCCGUAACUAUAACGGUCCUAAGGUAGCGAAAUUCCUUGUCGGUUAGAUACCGACCUGCAUGAAUGGCGUAACGAGAUGGGAGCUGUCUAAACCAGAGAUUCAGUGAAAUUGUAGUGGAGGUGAAAAUUCCUCCUACCCGCGGCAAGACGGAAAGACCCCGUGGACCUUUACUACAACUUAGCACUG
This 235-nucleotide ribosomal RNA is filed under the name Helicobacter pylori. RNAcentral describes it as "partial 23S ribosomal RNA". It matches the Rfam family "Bacterial large subunit ribosomal RNA", at positions 1887 to 2119 of the family's 2925-position model. Lineage: Bacteria; Pseudomonadati; Campylobacterota; Epsilonproteobacteria; Campylobacterales; Helicobacteraceae. The record is from RNAcentral.